RNAcentral lists this ribosomal RNA (253 nucleotides) under uncultured bacterium. Its description in RNAcentral is "partial 16S ribosomal RNA". It matches the Rfam family "Bacterial small subunit ribosomal RNA", at positions 524 to 776 of the family's 1533-position model. The record is from RNAcentral.
UACAGAGGGGGCAAGCGUUGUUCGGAAUUACUGGGCGUAAAGGGUGCGUAGGCGGCGGGGCAAGUCAGGUGUGAAAUCUCGGGGCUCAACCCCGAAACUGCACUUGAUACUGCCUUGCUCGAGUACUGGAGAGGAGACUGGAAUUUACGGUGUAGCAGUGAAAUGCGUAGAUAUCGUAAGGAAGACCAGUGGCGAAGGCGAGUCUCUGGACAGUUACUGACGCUGAGGCACGAAGGCCAGGGGAGCAAACGGG